This 429-nucleotide small RNA is filed under the name Pan troglodytes (chimpanzee). RNAcentral describes it as "retained intron". The record is from RNAcentral. Lineage: Eukaryota; Metazoa; Chordata; Mammalia; Primates; Hominidae.
UGCUGGGGCCGACUCCCAAACGGGGCUGUCGAGGCCCGGUUGGCUUUCAGAGGCGUAUCCAUGGGAGUAGGUGUCAUGUAUCAAAUAGGAGAUUCAAAGUCAGCUGUUACCACGGCUACAGAAAUGCCAGUCUUUUCCUAAGAGUGCGAAUGGACACACACAUGUGCAUACGUGCACACAUGUCCCCACACAUGCACCCUCAGGCUCUCACGGAGCCCUGGGUGCCUACAGCAGGACGUCCAGGACGGGAACACCACAGUGCACUACGCCCUCCUCAGCGCCUCCUGGGCUGUGCUCUGCUACUACGCCGAAGACCUGCGCCUGAAGCUGCCCUUGCAGGAGUUACCCAACCAGGCCUCCAACUGGUCGGCUGGCCUGCUGGCAUGGCUGGGCAUCCCCAACGUCCUGCUGGAGGUUGUGCCAGACGUA